CCCUGAUGUUAGCGGCGGACGGGUGAGUAACACGUGGGUAACCUGCCUGUAAGACUGGGAUAACUCCGGGAAACCGGGGCUAAUACCGGAUGGUUGUUUGAACCGCAUGGUUCAAACAUAAAAGGUGGCUUCGGCUACCACUUACAGAUGGACCCGCGGCGCAUUAGCUAGUUGGUGAGGUAACGGCUCACCAAGGCAACGAUGCGUAGCCGACCUGAGAGGGUGAUCGGCCACACUGGGACUGAGACACGGCCCAGACUCCUACGGGAGGCAGCAGUAGGGAAUCUUCCGCAAUGGACGAAAGUCUGACGGAGCAACGCCGCGUGAGUGAUGAAGGUUUUCGGAUCGUAAAGCUCUGUUGUUAGGGAAGAACAAGUACCGUUCGAAUAGGGCGGUACCUUGACGGUACCUAACCAGAAAGCCACGGCUAACUACGUGCCAGCAGCCGCGGUAAUACGUAGGUGGCAAGCGUUGUCCGGAAUUAUUGGGCGUAAAGGGCUCGCAGGCGGUUUCUUAAGUCUGAUGUGAAAGCCCCCGGCUCAACCGGGGAGGGUCAUUGGAAACUGGGGAACUUGAGUGCAGAAGAGGAGAGUGGAAUUCCACGUGUAGCGGUGAAAUGCGUAGAGAUGUGGAGGAACACCAGUGGCGAAGGCGACUCUCUGGUCUGUAACUGACGCUGAGGAGCGAAAGCGUGGGGAGCGAACAGGAUUAGAUACCCUGGUAGUCCACGCCGUAAACGAUGAGUGCUAAGUG
This 753-nucleotide ribosomal RNA is filed under the name Bacillus sp. (in: firmicutes). RNAcentral's name for it is "bacterial SSU rRNA". It matches the Rfam family "Bacterial small subunit ribosomal RNA", at positions 84 to 822 of the family's 1533-position model. Lineage: Bacteria; Bacillati; Bacillota; Bacilli; Caryophanales; Bacillaceae. The record is from RNAcentral.